This is a long non-coding RNA of Wasmannia auropunctata (little fire ant), 613 nucleotides long. RefSeq lists it as uncharacterized. The transcript is spliced from 2 exons. The record is from RefSeq and is a predicted model, not a curated record. NCBI's taxonomy places the organism in Eukaryota, Metazoa, Arthropoda, Insecta, Hymenoptera, Formicidae.
UGGAUGCACCUCGGCUUGUCGGUCAAAGGGAACGAGUAACAAAAUCUGAUUAGAUACAUCAAUUUUAUUGAAUGUUUUUGAAAGAACGUAAGAAGCAAUUAAUUCUAUUGUACUAACUUUUUAAUUUUAUUCGCAAGUUAACGAGGAGAGAAUGCUAAAUCAACUCCGUUUUCGUUAUAAAAUAUUUGAUGAACACGAAAUAAAUUAUUAGAAUGCCAUACAUAAUGGUAGAACAAAGGAAGAUCCAAAGUUGGAUAUGGCAUAUUAUAUAGUAGGUAUAAUGAACGAUAACAUAAAAUGUAAUAUUUGUCCUAAAGCGUUUACGUUUUUUUAGUUAUAUUUAUAGUUUGUUUUAUUUUGCUUAAAAAUUUAGAGUUUAACAUUGUUUUAAACAUUCUUCCUUGAGUAAUGAUAAAUACCUCGACAAUGUAUUCCGUGAUGGAUAAUAAUUUAAUUUCAAUUUCGGCUUAAUUUCGAUUAAAUCUAAUUCAUCGCGAUAUUAAAUACUAUCUUCUCACUCUGUUACGGAGAUAUAGAUUUUUACCAAACAAAUCAAAAUCCUUGUUUGCACAAUUUGUAAACAUCAAAAUAUAUAGAGAAAUUAUAUCGUGUA